CAGUAGCCGCGGUAAUACGAAGGGUGCAAGCGUUAAUCGGAAUUACUGGGCGUAAAGCGUGCGUAGGCGGUUUGUUAAGACAGAUGUGAAAUCCCCGGGCUUAACCUGGGAACUGCAUUUGUGACUGGCAAGCUAGAGUAUGGCAGAGGGGGGUGGAAUUCCGCGUGUAGCAGUGAAAUGCGUAGAGAUCGGGAGGAACAUCAGUGGCGAAGGCGGCCAUCUGGGACAACACUGACGCUGAGGCACGAAAGCGUGGGGAGCAAACAGGAUUAGAUACCCCCGUAGUCCCUGUCUCUUAUAC
Molecule: ribosomal RNA, 301 nt
Filed under: uncultured bacterium
Lineage: Bacteria
Description: partial 16S ribosomal RNA
Rfam family: Bacterial small subunit ribosomal RNA
Source: RNAcentral